Saccostrea cuccullata (small rock oyster) is the source of this 343-nucleotide long non-coding RNA. RefSeq lists it as uncharacterized. NCBI's taxonomy places the organism in Eukaryota, Metazoa, Mollusca, Bivalvia, Ostreida, Ostreidae. The transcript is spliced from 5 exons. The record is from RefSeq and is a predicted model, not a curated record.
AUCAAUAAAGUAUAUUGAAGGCUGUGCCACUUUCUAUGUGGAACAAGGAACAAUAAUAACUGUUUGAAUACUGCCAAAAAUAUUUGAACACACAAAGUUUCUUUAGAAAGUCUUGGAAAAUGGAUUCCUCAAAAGACUCAGCGGACGCGGGUUACGUCAUAUGUUCUUCUGUAACAGAUAUAAAAGCGCAUGAGCAAGAAAAAUAUGAAGAUGAGAAUCCAGGAAAUGUGUAUAUGGAAUUAGGCACCCCAGAUUAUGAAAAAAUUCAGGACUCUGCAGUUAUUUUGAAACCAAAGAAGACAGAUAAAGGGUAUAUGAUGCCUGUUGAAAUUCACGAUCCGGG